RNAcentral lists this long non-coding RNA (348 nucleotides) under Homo sapiens (human). RNAcentral's name for it is "HSALNT0064271". The record is from RNAcentral. Lineage: Eukaryota; Metazoa; Chordata; Mammalia; Primates; Hominidae.
UUGAAACCUAGUAUCUUGAAUAUUUUUCUUAAGGACAAAGUGACACAACUAGAGGAUUAAAAUAAUUUAAUUAAUAAUUUUAUAGAAACCUACUUACUUCAGUAAUACUGUAUCAUGUUUUUGAUAUCUUAAUUGUAUUAUGAGAGAACUUCAAGAAUAUCUAGCCAAAAUAAAAAAGAAGGAUUUUCUUCAUGCUCCAUAAAUCAACUCACUUUUUAAGCAAAGCAGGUAGGUGAGAAGCAACACAGUGUUUUCUCUGUGGUGACUACAGCUACAACGAAAGAAAGGAGAGUGGCACACCUCUGGAGAACUUGUUAUUCAUCAAAAAAAUAUAGAUUUUGUGUUUGU